Molecule: small nucleolar RNA, 137 nt
Organism: Callithrix jacchus (white-tufted-ear marmoset)
Lineage: Eukaryota; Metazoa; Chordata; Mammalia; Primates; Cebidae
Source: Ensembl
AGCCUCUUGGUAUUUAACACAGCUGUGUUCUUACACUGACUGUGUAGAAAGAGAAAGGAAUAAACCUACCCACCCCCGCCCCCAGGCAUUUCAACCAGGCCCCAUGCUUCGUCUGGAUUGUGAAUAGGGAAACAUGG